RNAcentral lists this small RNA (1026 nucleotides) under Pan troglodytes (chimpanzee). Its description in RNAcentral is "retained intron". The record is from RNAcentral. Lineage: Eukaryota; Metazoa; Chordata; Mammalia; Primates; Hominidae.
GCUGACCGCACUGAGGUAGUUCAAACCUUAUGGCGUAAGACAGGUCAUUUCCUGGUGAGUUAAAAUUCCUUGUUCUCCUUAAGUCUUGAAGCAGCUUCAUGGAUUUCAUGCCUUUGCUCCUCUCAUUGUCUUUAUUCUUCACCAUUUUUCUCCUUCAUGGGUUUCUUUAUCCCUCUUUGAGGGUCUCCAUCCUGAUUAUGUAAUGCCUAUUUCUUUUUAGGACUCCUUCUCCCUCUAUGAUUGCUCUUACACAGCUGCUGACAUUUAUACUUUCGUGUAAUUCAAGUCUUCUGCAUAUUUUCCCGUUUUGUGAACAGGUACUGGUGGAGAAUGGAACAAAAGCUGGGCACAGCCUUCUCAUGGAUGCCAGGGAUCUGGUCCUUAAGGGAAAAGAGAAGUCACCUUUGGACCCUCGACCUGGUUUUGUCUUUGCCCCGUGUCCCCAUGAACUCCCUUGUCCCCAGUUGACCAACCUGGCCUGUAGCUUCUCACAGGCGUACCAUCCCAUCCCCUUCAGCUGGAACAAGAAACCAAAGGAAGAAAAGUUCUCUAUGGUGAUCCUUGCUCGGGGGUCUCCAGAGGAGGCUAAUCGCUGGCCCCGUAUCACUCAGCCUGUCCUUAAACGGCCUCGCCAUGUGCAUUGUCACUUGUGCUGUUCAGAUGGGCACAUGCAGCAUGCUGUGAUCACAGCCCGCCGGCACGGCAGGUAUGGGGGCUGUGACCAAAAUUAGUGGGAUGUGGCAGGAAGCUGCAGCCCACGCUAGCAUCUCGUUUCCACAGGGAUUUGUAUCGUUGUGCCCGUGUCAGCUCCUGGGGAGAUCUUUUACCUGUGCUUACUCCGUCUGCGUUUCCUCCAUCUACUGCUCAGGAUCCCUCUGAGAGUUGACGAGGAUGUGUAACAAGUAUUUUCUUCUAUCAUGCCUGCCAGGGCUGAAGCUGCCUGGUAUCCAGGAGGGGAAUGCUGGUAUCCCCAUAUGUCUGUGUUUGUUUGAGAUUUUUAAUAAUAAAUAAUAAAUUUUUAAAGAA